AGGAAAAGGUUAAAGGGGAAAACUGAUCCAGGGACUAACUCUGUCUCAGGGGCCAGAGCUGUAAGCCAAAAACGAAGAACAUGGAGACAUGGAGCCACUGGAAGUAAAAGAGCAGGCCCGCCAGCUAGCAAGAUGCUUCUUGUCGGUAGCUUUCAGGAGGUUUUGUAAAGGUACGACCCGCAAGCACACACUGAACAGAGAAAGGGAACGCUCUUGUCUGAGAAAGAAGCCAGGCUUUCUACAUGCACAUCUGCUGCGGACACCCGGCCCUCAGUUCCGUUUUCGUUCCCAUACGACUUCUUCGAGAAAGGUUUUUAAAGAAUCUGAAGAUAAGCUGGUGGGCUCCGGAACAAAUCCUCUUCCAUAGAAGACAUCUGAGAAAGACCUGAUUCGAAAGAAGAGACUUGAAGACUUGAGAAACUUCCUGUUGACAAUUCUGUACCACACGGCCUGGACGCCCGGAAGACGCAGCUGGCAGCCACUGUCCACAGCCCACGGAGGUUCUUAGGGAAGUUUCUAGAAGACCUUGUGCUUUAGAGAGUUGUGAAAACGCAAGUGUUGUUAGUUCUUGAGAGGGACUUCCUUCCAAGCAGAAGAUGAACUGUGUGUGGCUCUGGUUGCCAAUUUGGCAGAAUCACAGUGGAAGAUGUGAACAGUGGUAAGAGAGCUGUCAGCACGUCAGCAGAGUCUCCUGAAGGAGUUAGGCCCUGGGGUCAGAUGAUUCUCCAGCUCUCAUCUUUGCCACAAAGGGGCUGCCAUGAUCCAAACACAGCGGCUUCUCCAAACACAGAGGAUCUGUCGGUUUGGCUCUACAGCUUAUGUGGGAGCGAGGGUGAUUUGCAGGAGGUAAAGGAGGAUCCCUCUCAGCAUCCUGCUAUCGGUAGUGAUCUCUCAGCAUAAAUCAGCUUCUCAGGCAGAGCUCAGGCUGCUAAAGAGAAGGGAGGGUUCUCUCCAAAAACAGAGUCUUUUUGGCAGAGAUGGUGGACCUGGCAUUGUAAAGAACGGGUUAUGAGUUGAUGAAUUAUUUAUAACGGAUUUUUUUAAAGCACUUGUUGCUAGACUCUGACGCUUUCCUAUCUAAACACCUCCUCUUCUCUGCCUCCACCCUCACCAGAUCCCCCUGUCCUGGGUCCUGUCUCCUCCGGAGUACCUUGGGCUGGGCUGCUUCAUUGUAUUACAAACAAGUUAAUCCCCUUAUGCUCAGGAUGCAAAUGCGAUGGAGCCAAGGUCUGGGAAGCUAUGCAAAACAAUCUCUUAAGAAGCCUUUUCCCUUUUCCCUAAUGCCAGGACAGUACAAGAUGGCAGAUUUAGAAUUUAAGACUCGGAGGGUGCGCAAACAUCAAUCAUGAAAAUCAAACAACGUUCCA
RNAcentral lists this long non-coding RNA (1367 nucleotides) under Sus scrofa (pig). RNAcentral describes it as "lncRNA (ENSSSCG00065053407.1)". Lineage: Eukaryota; Metazoa; Chordata; Mammalia; Artiodactyla; Suidae. The record is from RNAcentral.